This 64-nucleotide transfer RNA is filed under the name Utterbackia peninsularis (peninsular floater). RNAcentral describes it as "tRNA-Asp". The record is from RNAcentral. Lineage: Eukaryota; Metazoa; Mollusca; Bivalvia; Unionida; Unionidae.
UUUGCAAAGGGAUGAGAGCAAUAAGCAGAGGUUUUUGAGGCCUCUAAAACUCUAAGGGUUUGCU